AGUCUGCCUUGAAGAUCGGAGUGCUUGCACUCUGUGAAACAAGAUACAGGCUAGCGGCGGACGGGUGAGUAACACGUGGGUAACCUGCCCAAGAGAUCGGGAUAACACCUGGAAACAGAUGCUAAUACCGGAUAACAACAGAUGAUGCCUAUCAACUGUUUAAAAGAUGGUUCUGCUAUCACUCUUGGAUGGACCUGCGGUGCAUUAGCUAGUUGGUAGGGUAACGGCCUACCAAGGCGAUGAUGCAUAGCCGAGUUGAGAGACUGAUCGGCCACAUUGGGACUGAGACACGGCCCAAACUCCUACGGGAGGCAGCAGUAGGGAAUCUUCCACAAUGGACGCAAGUCUGAUGGAGCAACGCCGCGUGAGUGAAGAAGGGUUUCGGCUCGUAAAGCUCUGUUGUUGGUGAAGAAGGACAGGGGUAGUAACUGACCUUUGUUUGACGGUAAUCAAUUAGAAAGUCACGGCUAACUACGUGCCAGCAGCCGCGGUAAUACGUAGGUGGCAAGCGUUGUCCGGAUUUAUUGGGCGUAAAGCGAGUGCAGGCGGCUCGAUAAGUCUGAUGUGAAAGCCUUCGGCUCAACCGGAGAAUUGCAUCAGAAACUGUCGAGCUUGAGUACAGAAGAGGAGAGUGGGACUCCAUGUGUAGCGGUGAAAUGCGUAGAUAUAUGGAAGAACACCGGUGGCGAAGGCGGCUCUCUGGUCUGUUACUGACGCUGAGGCUCGAAAGCAUGGGUAGCGAACAGGAUUAGAUACCCUGGUAGUCCAUGCCGUANACGAUGAGUGCUAAGUGUUGGGAGGUUUCCGCCUCUCAGUGCUGCAGCUAACGCAUU
Molecule: ribosomal RNA, 833 nt
Filed under: uncultured bacterium
Lineage: Bacteria
Description: bacterial SSU rRNA
Rfam family: Bacterial small subunit ribosomal RNA
Source: RNAcentral